Erinaceus europaeus (western European hedgehog) is the source of this 707-nucleotide long non-coding RNA. RefSeq lists it as uncharacterized. The transcript is spliced from 2 exons. Lineage: Eukaryota; Metazoa; Chordata; Mammalia; Eulipotyphla; Erinaceidae. The record is from RefSeq and is a predicted model, not a curated record.
CUGUCCCCUCUGCCCUGGGUCCCUCUCCAUCUCUCCCCUCCUGGCCCCCCUCUCUCCCUCUGCUUCCAGGUUGCCGCUGGUCCUCAGGGAGCACUCUGACCUCUGCACUCUGCACCCCUUCUGCCCCCAAGGUGCUGUGGAUCAAGCCUCCCCCACACCCCAGCAUCCAGCAUCCCACCACAAGGAUCUGAUGGAGGCACCCCAGUCAGCCAGACAGUCUGUCAGAGCGCAAAGCUGAAGCGGAGUCCAAGGACUGGUGAGCAGGGGUCCGAACGUGCACAGCACAGAGGGGCUUAUUCAUAAGAGCGGAGAAAGGAGGCGGUGACGUCCUCCAGCCGGCAUGAGGACAGAGACAACAGCCUGUCUCUCCCGUGGCUGUGUGUGACGGGGGGGUGGGUGGGGUGGGGUGGGGGUUGGUUGGGGCCUUGACAUCUGGGCGUACUUGAACUUGUGAGCCAGGGAAGGGACGGGGGAGCAGGGAGACAAGCACAGAGGACCACGGGGCAAGUGCAUCCACUCAUAGGGAGCAUCAGAAGGCAAGUCCAGACAGACAGACAGACAGACUAGUAGACUGUGAAAUGAGGACCAGAGCACCUCUGGGGCUGGGAGGGUUGGGAUGGGUUUCCUCUGAGGAUGAAGCAAAUGUCCUCAGGUUAUUGGGAAAUGUCACACAACGCCCAGAAUAUUAAAGAAAAUGCUGAGCUGGG